Molecule: unclassified non-coding RNA, 235 nt
Filed under: Hevea brasiliensis (rubber tree)
Lineage: Eukaryota; Viridiplantae; Streptophyta; Magnoliopsida; Malpighiales; Euphorbiaceae
Source: RNAcentral
UUGUGCCGAUCUGGUAAUUUAAAUAGAGCAUUUGAGUUUCUAAAUCUUAUGCCUAUGGUGGCAGAUGUGGUUUUGUGGAGAAUGUUGCUUAGUGCUUGUAAACUUCACGGUAAUGUGGUUCUUGCUGAAAUCGCUGCGAACAAACUUCUUCAAUUAGAUCCUGAUAAUGGUGGUAAUUAUGUUCUGUCAUCAAGCACUUACGCCACUGCAGAGAGAUGGGACGAUGCAAUGAAAA